GGAGGGCAAGUCUGGUGCCAGCAGCCGCGGUAAUUCCAGCUCCAAUAGCGUAUAUUAAACUUGUUGCAGUUAAAAAGCUCGUAGUUGAAUUUCUGCGUUAUCGAGUUAUUGACUCUUGUCUUUAAUCGAUUUCGCUUUUGGGAUUUAUCCCUUUUUACUUUGAGAAAAUUAGAGUGUUUCAAGCAGACUUUUGUCUUGAAUACUUCAGCAUGGAAUAAUAGAGUAGGACUUUGGUUCUAUUUUGUUGGUUUUUGAACCUUAGUAAUGGUUAAUAGGAACGGUUGGGGGCAUUCGUAUUUAACUGUCAGAGGUGAAAUUCUUAGAUUUGUUAAAGACGAACUACUGCGAAAGCAUUUGCCAAGGACGUUUCCAUUAAUCAAGAACGAAAGUUAGGGGAUCGAAGACGAU
RNAcentral lists this ribosomal RNA (408 nucleotides) under Babesia venatorum (nom. ined.). RNAcentral describes it as "SSU rRNA". It matches the Rfam family "Eukaryotic small subunit ribosomal RNA", at positions 550 to 1008 of the family's 1831-position model. The record is from RNAcentral. Lineage: Eukaryota; Apicomplexa; Aconoidasida; Piroplasmida; Babesiidae.